RNAcentral lists this ribosomal RNA (440 nucleotides) under uncultured bacterium. RNAcentral's name for it is "bacterial SSU rRNA". It matches the Rfam family "Bacterial small subunit ribosomal RNA", at positions 958 to 1398 of the family's 1533-position model. The record is from RNAcentral.
AACGCGAAGAACCUUACCUGGGCUCGAACGGCUUCUCAACGCCGGUGGAAACAUCGGUACCCCGCAAGGGGGUGGAGUCGAGGUGCUGCAUGGCUGUCGUCAGCUCGUGUCGUGAGAUGUUGGGUUAAGUCCCGCAACGAGCGCAACCCUUGUCCUGUGUUGCCAUCAUUCAGUUGGGAACUCGCAGGAGACCGCCAGGGAUAACCUGGAGGAAGGUGGGGAUGACGUCAAGUCCUCAUGGCCUUUAUGUCCAGGGCUACACACGUGCUACAAUGGACGGUACAAAGCGCAGCAAACCCGCGAGGGGGAGCCAAUCGCAAAAAACCGUUCUCAGUUCGGAUUGCAGGCUGCAACUCGCCUGCAUGAAGCUGGAAUCGCUAGUAAUGGCAGAUCAGCACGCUGCCGUGAAUACGUUCCCGGGCCUUGUACACACCGGAGUA